This 447-nucleotide ribosomal RNA is filed under the name uncultured bacterium. RNAcentral's name for it is "partial 16S ribosomal RNA". It matches the Rfam family "Bacterial small subunit ribosomal RNA", at positions 29 to 523 of the family's 1533-position model. The record is from RNAcentral.
AACGAACGCUGGCGGCAGGCUUAACACAUGCAAGUCGAGCGCCCCGCAAGGGGAGCGGCAGACGGGUGAGUAACGCGUGGGAACGUACCCUUUACUACGGAAUAACUCAGGGAAACUUGUGCUAAUACCGUAUGUGCCCUUCGGGGGAAAGAUUUAUCGGUAAAGGAUCGGCCCGCGUUGGAUUAGCUAGUUGGUGGGGUAAAGGCCUACCAAGGCGACGAUCCAUAGCUGGUCUGAGAGGAUGAUCAGCCACAUUGGGACUGAGACACGGCCCAAACUCCUACGGGAGGCAGCAGUGGGGAAUAUUGGACAAUGGGCGCAAGCCUGAUCCAGCCAUGCCGCGUGUGUGAUGAAGGCCUUAGGGUUGUAAAGCACUUUCACCGGAGAAGAUAAUGACGGUAUCCGGAGAAGAAGCCCCGGCUAACUUCGUGCCAGCAGCCGCCGUAA